AGAAGACAGAUGCAGGGUCUGAAGAAAACUAGCAGAAUCUGAGGAAAACUUCAAUAUAUUAAUGGAGACAACUAAUAGAAGGUGGCACUAAUAGGGACCAAUGACUUGGACCAUCUUCUUCUAAGAGGUAACAAUUUCUAGAAUGGAAGACUGUGUCACAGACAGAGGAACCAUGGAAGAGGACAUUUGUAUGCAGGAAUAGCCUCAAGUGAAUCCCCACUGACUCCUAAACCAGGAUGAACUCUUGAUGAUGAUGAUCCAUGUGUAGGCAAGUGCAAUUUCAUGUCUAAGUGGAUAUGAAGAUGUCUCAGAAGAUAUUUAAUUUCUAAUAGGUAAUUAGUCAAAUAAACUAAUCCAUGUUAACA
RNAcentral lists this long non-coding RNA (365 nucleotides) under Monodelphis domestica (gray short-tailed opossum). RNAcentral's name for it is "lncRNA (ENSMODG00000038286.1)". The record is from RNAcentral. Lineage: Eukaryota; Metazoa; Chordata; Mammalia; Didelphimorphia; Didelphidae.